GGAGUUAGCCGGUGCUUCUUCUGUGAGUGAUGUCCUUCCUGCCGGCUAUUAACCCGCAGGCCUUCUUCCUCACUGAAAGUGCUUUACAACCCGAAGGCCUUCUUCACACACGCGGCAUGGCUGGAUCAGGGUUGCCCCCAUUGUCCAAUAUUCCCCACUGCUGCCUCCCGUAGGAGUCUGGGCCGUGUCUCAGUCCCAGUGUGGCUGAUCAUCCUCUCAGACCCAGCUACGGAUCGUCGCCUUGGUGAGCCGUUACCUCACCAACCAGCUAAUCCGACAUAGGCUCAUCCGAUAGCGCGAGGCCCGAAGGUCCCCCGCUUUCCCCCGUAGGGCGUAUGCGGUAUUAGCCUGGGUUUCCCCCAGGUUAUCCCCCACUACCGGGCAGAUUCCUAUGCAUUACUCACCCGUCCGCCGCUACGCCACCAGGGAGCAAGCUCCCCGUGCUGCCGCUCGACUUGCAUGUGUUAGGCCUGCCGCCAGCGUUCAAUCUGAGCCAGGAUCAAACUCUGA
Molecule: ribosomal RNA, 510 nt
Filed under: uncultured bacterium
Lineage: Bacteria
Description: partial 16S ribosomal RNA
Source: RNAcentral